GGGGCUGUAGCUCAGCUGGGAGAGCGCCACAAUGGCAUUGUGGAGGCCGCCGGUUCGAUCCCGGUCAGCUCCA
Molecule: transfer RNA, 73 nt
Filed under: Candidatus Omnitrophota bacterium
Lineage: Bacteria; Pseudomonadati; Candidatus Omnitrophota
Description: Candidatus Omnitrophica bacterium (groundwater metagenome) tRNA-Ala
Rfam family: tRNA
About the family: Transfer RNA (tRNA) molecules are approximately 80 nucleotides in length. Their secondary structure includes four short double-helical elements and three loops (D, anti-codon, and T loops). Further hydrogen bonds mediate the characteristic L-shaped molecular structure. tRNAs have two regions of fundamental functional importance: the anti-codon, which is responsible for specific mRNA codon recognition, and the 3' end, to which the tRNAs corresponding amino acid is attached (by aminoacyl-tRNA synthetases). tRNAs cope with the degeneracy of the genetic code in two manners: having more than one tRNA (with a specific anti-codon) for a particular amino acid; and 'wobble' base-pairing, i.e. permitting non-standard base-pairing at the 3rd anti-codon position.
Source: RNAcentral